GUGCAGCAGUCGAGAAACCUCCGCAAUGCGGGAAACCGCGACGGGGGGACCCCGAGUGCCGUGGCAACGCCACGGCUUUUCCGGAGUGUAAAAAGCUCCGGGAAUAAGGGCUGGGCAAGGCCGGUGGCAGCCGCCGCGGUAAUACCGGCGGCCCGAGUGGUGGCCGCUAUUAUUGGGCCUAAAGCGUCCGUAGCCGGGCCCGUAAGUCCCUGGCGAAAUCCCACGGCUCAACCGUGGGGCUUGCUGGGGAUACUGCGGGUCUUGGGACCGGGAGAGGCGGGGGGUACCCCUGGGGUAGGGGUGAAAUCCUAUAAUCCCAGGGGGACCGCCAGUGGCGAAGGCGCCCCGCUGGAACGGGUCCGACGGUGAGGGACGAAGGCCAGGGGAGC
This 389-nucleotide ribosomal RNA is filed under the name uncultured microorganism. RNAcentral's name for it is "bacterial SSU rRNA". It matches the Rfam family "Archaeal small subunit ribosomal RNA", at positions 330 to 720 of the family's 1478-position model. The record is from RNAcentral.